Molecule: ribosomal RNA, 468 nt
Filed under: uncultured bacterium
Lineage: Bacteria
Description: partial 16S ribosomal RNA
Rfam family: Bacterial small subunit ribosomal RNA
Source: RNAcentral
GACGAACGCUGGCGGCGUGCUUAACACAUGCAAGUCGAACGGAAAGGCCCUGCUUUUGUGGGGUGCUCGAGUGGCGAACGGGGGAGUAACACGUGAGUAACCUGCCCUUGACUUUGGGAUAACUUCAGGAAACUGGGGCUAAUACCGGAUAGGAGCUCCUGCUGCAUGGUGGGGGUUGGAAAGUUUCGGCGGUUGGGGAUGGACUCGCGGCUUAUCAGCUAGUUGGUGUGGUAGUGGUUUACCAAGGCUUUGACGGGUAGCCGGCCUGGGAGGGUGACCGGCGACAUUGGGACUGAGAGAGGGCCCAGACUGCUACGGGAGGCAGCAGUGGGGAACCUUGCGCAAUGGGCGGAAGCCUGAGGCAGCAACGCCGCGUGCGGGAUGACCGGCUUCGGGUGGUAAACCGAUUUCGAAGGUGAUGAAGCGUGAGUGACGGUAAUGGGUAAAGAAGCAACGGCUAACUACGUG